UGGAUGCUGGUACUCCUGGCAGUCAGGAGGGAGCCUUUGCUCUCAUCAACCUCCCACUGGGAAGAUGGUGCCAAGCUCAGCUUAAGCAGGUAAACGGUAGGAUUCAGUUAACAUCGCGCGGUUGAAGAGCAAGAGCUGUCUAUGCAAUUCACCCUGGCUGUGAUUUUACUGGGAGGUUUUCAACAGAGGGCUGUCCAUCUUCAUCCCAUCUUGCAUCACUUAGCGCACAAGUUCCACGCCGCAGCCCCGUCGGACACUCUCUGCAUACCUGGGGAGCAGGAAAUGCCUUUUUCAACACCCUAAGGACACGAUGUUCUUGUAUCUACCUUGCUGAUGCUGCCUGCAGAGGGAAAAAAUACACUCCUGGCUCCUAAGGUUUAUGGAACUCUUGGUACAGCGGGAAUUCGCGUGAAGUUGCUCUUCCUCUGGGAAUUGUGGAACUUUUCACAGGACAUGAGACAAACCCCAGUCGAGGGUAGACCAAGAAGCUGAACGUGGGUCUCCCGUGCCCUACCUUAGCACCCUAACCACUAUGCCAGCCUUCCUCCUGAAAAGCACCCCAAGGGGGUUAUGUGCAGUUGAUAAGCUCACGGCUGGCAUAACGAAGAGAGAAUGUUCUGUAACCUGUUAAUGAAA
Molecule: non-coding RNA, 636 nt
Organism: Pelodiscus sinensis (Chinese soft-shelled turtle)
Lineage: Eukaryota; Metazoa; Chordata; Testudines; Trionychidae
Source: RefSeq, a predicted model, not a curated record